UUUAAAAAUGCCGACAGAAGCAUGGAGAAAAAGAAGGGGGAGCCUAGAACCAGGGCCGAAGCUCGCCCCUGGGUGGAUGAAGACUUAAAAGACAGCAGUGACCUGCACCAAGCAGAAGAAGAUGCUGAUGAAUGGCAAGAAUCAGAAGAAAAAGUUGAACACAUCCCCUUCUCUCAUACCCACUAUCCCGAGAAGGAAAUGGUUAAGAGGUCUCAGGAAUUUUAUGAACUUCUCAAUAAGAGACGGUCAGUCAGGUUCAUAAGAAAUGAGCAAGUCCCAAUGGAAGUCAUUGAUAAUGUCAUCAGAACGGCAGGUUUGUAAUUGCAGAUGGGGUCUUUGGAAAUGUUAGUCACCUUACUGGUGUGACUCCAACAAUGGAAAAAUGUCAAAGUUUAAACAU
RNAcentral lists this small RNA (400 nucleotides) under Pan troglodytes (chimpanzee). Its description in RNAcentral is "retained intron". The record is from RNAcentral. Lineage: Eukaryota; Metazoa; Chordata; Mammalia; Primates; Hominidae.